This 1110-nucleotide ribosomal RNA is filed under the name uncultured Actinomycetes bacterium. RNAcentral's name for it is "bacterial SSU rRNA". It matches the Rfam family "Bacterial small subunit ribosomal RNA", at positions 28 to 1147 of the family's 1533-position model. The record is from RNAcentral. Lineage: Bacteria; Bacillati; Actinomycetota; Actinomycetes.
GACGAACGCUGGCGGCGUGCUUAACACAUGCAAGUCGAACGAUGAGGCCUUUCGGGGCGGAUUAGUGGCGAACGGGUGAGUAACACGUGGGCAACCUGCCCUCCACUCUGGGAUAACUCCGGGAAACCGGGGCUAAUACUGGAUACGACCCUCCCUCGCAUGGGGGUGGGUGGAAAGUUUUUCGGUGGAGGAUGGGCCCGCGGCCUAUCAGCUUGUUGGUGGGGUGAUGGCCUACCAAGGCGGUGACGGGUAGCCGGCCUGAGAGGGCGACCGGCCACACUGGGACUGAGACACGGCCCAGACUCCUGCGGGAGGCAGCAGUGGGGAAUAUUGCACAAUGGGCGAAAGCCUGAUGCAGCGACGCCGCGUGAGGGAUGACGGCCUUCGGGUUGUAAACCUCUUUCAGCAGGGACCAAGCGCAAGUGAGUGUACCUGCAGAAGAAGCACCGGCUAACUACGUGCCAGCAGCCGCGGUAAUACGUAGGGUGCGAGCGUUGUCCGGAUUUAUUGGGCGUAAAGGGCUCGUAGGCGGCCUGUCGCGUCGGAAGUGAAAGCCCACUGCUUAACGGUGGGUCUGCUUCCGGUACGGGCAGGCUGGAGUAUGGCAGGGGAGACUGGAAUUCCUGGUGUAGCGGUGGAAUGCGCAGAUAUCAGGAGGAACACCGGUGGCGAAGGCGGGUCUCUGGGCCAUUACUGACGCUGAGGAGCGAAAGCGUGGGGAGUGAACAGGAUUAGAUACCCUGGUAGUCCACGCCGUAAACGUUGGGCGCUAGGUGUGGGGACUGUUUCCACGGUCUCCGUGCCGGAGCUAACGCAUUAAGCGCCCCGCCUGGGGAGUACGGCCGCAAGGCUAAAACUCAAAGGAAUUGACGGGGGCCCGCACAAGCGGCGGAGCAUGCGGCUUAAUUCGAUGCAACGCGAAGAACCUUACCAGGGCUUGACAUGCACGGUGCAGCCGUAGAGAUACGGUGUCCUUUGGGGUCGUGCACAGGUGGUGCAUGGUUGUCGUCAGCUCGUGUCGUGAGAUGUUGGGUUAAGUCCCGCAACGAGCGCAACCCUCGUCCUGUAUUGCCAGCAUGCCUCUUCGGAGGUGAUGGGGACUUGCGGGAG